RNAcentral lists this ribosomal RNA (468 nucleotides) under uncultured bacterium. Its description in RNAcentral is "partial 16S ribosomal RNA". It matches the Rfam family "Bacterial small subunit ribosomal RNA", at positions 28 to 507 of the family's 1533-position model. The record is from RNAcentral.
GACGAACGCUGGCGGCGUGCUUAACACAUGCAAGUCGAACGGAAAGGCCCUGCUUUUGUGGGGUGCUCGAGUGGCGAACGGGUGAGUAACACGUGAGUAGCCUGCCCUUGACUUUGGGAUAACUUCAGGAAACUGGGGCUAAUACCGGAUAGGAGCUCCUGCUGCAUGGUGGGGGUUGGAAAGUUUCGGCGGUUGGGGAUGGACUCGCGGCUUAUCAGCUUGUUGGUGGGGUAGUGGCUUACCAAGGCUUUGACGGGUAGCCGGCCUGCGAGGGUGACCGGCCACAUUGGGACUGAGAUACGGCCCAGACUCCUACGGGAGGCAGCAGUGGGGAAUAUUGCACAAUGGGCGGAAGCCUGAUGCAGCAACGCCGCGUGCGGGAUGACGGCCUUCGGGUUGUAAACCGCUUUCGCCUGUGACGAAGCGUGAGUGACGGUAAUGGGUAAAGAAGCACCGGCUAACUACGUG